Molecule: ribosomal RNA, 535 nt
Filed under: uncultured Corynebacterium sp.
Lineage: Bacteria; Bacillati; Actinomycetota; Actinomycetes; Mycobacteriales; Corynebacteriaceae
Description: bacterial SSU rRNA
Rfam family: Bacterial small subunit ribosomal RNA
Source: RNAcentral
AGCAGUGGGGAAUAUUGCACAAUGGGCGGAAGCCUGAUGCAGCGACGCCGCGUGGGGGAUGACGGCCUUCGGGUUGUAAACUCCUUUCACCAUCGACGAAGGUUUUCUGACGGUAGAUGGAGAAGAAGCACCGGCUAACUACGUGCCAGCAGCCGCGGUAAUACGUAGGGUGCGAGCGUUGUCCGGAAUUACUGGGCGUAAAGAGCUCGUAGGUGGUUUGUCGCGUCGUCUGUGAAAUUCCGGGGCUUAACUCCGGGCGUGCAGGCGAUACGGGCAUAACUUGAGUACUGUAGGGGAGACUGGAAUUCCUGGUGUAGCGGUGAAAUGCGCAGAUAUCAGGAGGAACACCGGUGGCGAAGGCGGGUCUCUGGGCAGUAACUGACGCUGAGGAGCGAAAGCGUGGGUAGCGAACAGGAUUAGAUACCCUGGUAGUCCAUGCCGUAAACGGUGGGCGCUAGGUGUAGGGGUCUUCCACGACUUCUGUGCUGUAGCUAACGCAUUAAGCGCCCCGCCUGGGGGGUACGGCCGCAAGGCU